RNAcentral lists this ribosomal RNA (249 nucleotides) under uncultured bacterium. Its description in RNAcentral is "partial 16S ribosomal RNA". It matches the Rfam family "Bacterial small subunit ribosomal RNA", at positions 122 to 353 of the family's 1533-position model. The record is from RNAcentral.
CAACCUGCCCUUCAGAGGGGGACAACAGUUGGAAACGACUGCUAAUACCGCAUACGAUCUAAUCUCGGCAUCGAGGAAAGAUGAAAGGUGGCCUCUAUUUAUAAGCUAUCACUGAAGGAGGGGAUUGCGUCUGAUUAGCUAGUUGGAGGGGUAACGGCCCACCAAGGCGAUGAUCAGUAGCCGGUCUGAGAGGAUGAACGGCCACAUUGGGACUGAGACACGGCCCAGACUCCUACGGGAGGCAGCAUG